RNAcentral lists this ribosomal RNA (435 nucleotides) under uncultured bacterium. Its description in RNAcentral is "partial 16S ribosomal RNA". It matches the Rfam family "Bacterial small subunit ribosomal RNA", at positions 29 to 507 of the family's 1533-position model. The record is from RNAcentral.
AGCGAACGCUGGCGGCAGGCUUAACACAUGCAAGUCGAGCGGUCACUUUCGGGUGUCAGCGGCUGACGGGUGAGUAACGGUUGGGUACUUGCCCUCUGGUUCGGAAUAACUCAGGGAUACUUGAGCUAAUACCGGAUCCGCCCCUUUGGGGAAAGGCUUGCUGCCGGAGUAUCGGCCGGCGUCUGAUUACCUAGUUGGUGAGGUGACGGCUCACCAAGGUGACGAUCAGUAGCUGGUCUGAGAGAAUGAUCCGAGACACUGGGACUGAGACACGGCCCAGAAUCUUACGGGAGGCAGCAGAGGGGAAUAUUGGACAAAGGGGGCAAGGCUGAGCGAGCCAGGCCGCGUGAGUGAUGAAGGCGGUAGAGUUGUAAAGCAGUUUUAUCCGGGACGAUAAUGACGGUACCGAAGGAAUAAGCACCGGCUAACUUCGUG